AACGAACGCUGGCGGCAGGCUUAACACAUGCAAGUCGAACGAGAACGGUUCUUCGGAACUUAGUAGAGUGGCGCACGGGUGAGUAACGCGUGGGAAUCUACCCAAUAGUAUGGAAUAGCUCCGGGAAACUGGAAUUAAUACCAUAUACGCCCUUCGGGGGAAAGAUUUAUCGCUAUUGGAUGAGCCCGCGUGACAUUAGCUAGUUGGUAAGGUAAUGGCUUACCAAGGCUACGAUGUCUAGCUGGUCUUAGAGGAUGAUCAGCCACACUGGAACUGAGACACGGUCCAG
This 289-nucleotide ribosomal RNA is filed under the name uncultured bacterium. Its description in RNAcentral is "partial 16S ribosomal RNA". It matches the Rfam family "Bacterial small subunit ribosomal RNA", at positions 29 to 334 of the family's 1533-position model. The record is from RNAcentral.